ACGCUCGACACCUACGGACAGCAGUGGGGAAUAUUGCACAAUGGGGGAAACCCUGAUGCAGCGACGCCGCGUGGAGGAAGAAGGUCUUCGGAUUGUAAACUCCUGUUGUUGGGGAAAAAGAGGAUGGUACCCAACAAGGAAGUGACGGCUAACUACGUGCUAGCAGCCGCGGUAAUCUGAGCGGGCUGGCAAGGC
Molecule: ribosomal RNA, 195 nt
Filed under: uncultured bacterium
Lineage: Bacteria
Description: partial 16S ribosomal RNA
Rfam family: Bacterial small subunit ribosomal RNA
Source: RNAcentral